UACGGAGGGUGCAAGCGUUGUUCGGAAUUACUGGGCGUAAAGGGCUCGUAGGCGGUUUGUCGCGUCUGCUGUGAAAACCUAAGGCUCAACCUUGGGCUUGCAGUGGGUACGGGCAGACUAGAGUGCGGUAGGGGUGACUGGAAUUCCUGGUGUAGCGGUGGAAUGCGCAGAUAUCAGGAGGAACACCGAUGGCGAAGGCAGGUCACUGGGCCGCAACUGACGCUGAGGAGCGAAAGCAUGGGGAGCGAACAGG
Molecule: ribosomal RNA, 253 nt
Filed under: uncultured bacterium
Lineage: Bacteria
Description: partial 16S ribosomal RNA
Rfam family: Bacterial small subunit ribosomal RNA
Source: RNAcentral